RNAcentral lists this long non-coding RNA (625 nucleotides) under Coffea arabica (coffee). RNAcentral's name for it is "long non-coding RNA (CARA_LNC006658)". Lineage: Eukaryota; Viridiplantae; Streptophyta; Magnoliopsida; Gentianales; Rubiaceae. The record is from RNAcentral.
UUCUUAUAGACCAGCAAGAAGAGCAGACCUGUCAGGCUGAUUUGAGGAUCUUCCUUCCGGUAAAAUUCAUUCUCAACCCUUCUUGUUGUUUCAUAGCCUUUCGGGCUUUUUUUUUCUUUUAUUUUUCUUUUUCCUCGGAAUUUUGAAUGUAAUUGAUUUGGGCCCUGAAAGCUGAAUUUCAUUUCCCUUGAUUAUGAUCUAUUUUGUAUAGUUCUUUUAGUUGCUUGGCUUUUUUUUUUGGGUUCAUUAAUUUUUUUUCUAUGAUCAUCUUGAUUUUGGAUAUUUUGAUAAUUUCGAUUGUGAUAUUCUUACAUGACAUAAAAAUAUUACAUUGUGAUAUUGAAGUAAAAUGAUUAAUGUUUUCGCCAUUUAUCAAACAAAUUAGGAGCAUAAGAUUGUGUUGGGAGGUAAAAAUAUGAAUUAAUAGAUUGAUGAGCUUGGAGCUCCAUCAUUUUCUUUCAUUCAGAAUUACUAAGCAUGAUCAAGGUGGUUGUAUCUAAUGUGAGAGAGCAGGGGAGCUGCUCCAUUCUUGAAUCAAGGUGUUUGUGGCGCGAGAAGGGAGGCCAUCUGUGACGAGUAUUUUGCUGCAUUAAGUAGAGAAGCUUAAAAGUUAAUUUGGAAGUUG